This 392-nucleotide ribosomal RNA is filed under the name uncultured bacterium. Its description in RNAcentral is "partial 16S ribosomal RNA". It matches the Rfam family "Bacterial small subunit ribosomal RNA", at positions 523 to 918 of the family's 1533-position model. The record is from RNAcentral.
AUACGGAGGAUCCGAGCGUUAUCCGGAUUUAUUGGGUUUAAAGGGUGCGCAGGCGGCCAUUUAAGUCAGCGGUUAAAUCGUGGGGCUCAACCCCAUUCUGCCGUUGAUACUGGGUGGCUUGAUUGCGGUCGAGGUUGGCGGUAUUCGUUGUGUAGCGGUGAAAUGCAUAGAUAUGACGAAGAACACCGAUUGCGUAGGCAGCUGACCAGACCGCAAAUGACGCUCAUGCACGAAAGUGCGGGGAUCGAACAGGAUUAGAUACCCUGGUAGUCCGCACAGUAAACGAUGAAUACUUGUUUUCGGCGAUAUAAUGUCGGAGGCAAAGCGAAAGCGAUAAGUAUUCCACCUGGGGAGUACGCCGGCAACGGUGAAACUCAAAUGAAUUGGCGGGG